Molecule: transfer RNA, 74 nt
Filed under: Canis lupus dingo (dingo)
Lineage: Eukaryota; Metazoa; Chordata; Mammalia; Carnivora; Canidae
Rfam family: tRNA
About the family: Transfer RNA (tRNA) molecules are approximately 80 nucleotides in length. Their secondary structure includes four short double-helical elements and three loops (D, anti-codon, and T loops).
Source: Rfam by way of RNAcentral
GCCUGGCUGGCUUAGUCGGCAGAGCAUGUGACUCUUGAUCUCAGGGGUUGUGGGUUCGAACCCCACACUGGGUG